GAUGAAGAACGUAGUAAAAUGCGAUACUUGGUGUGAAUUGCAGAAUCCCGUGAACCAUCGAGUCUUUGAACGCAAGUUGCGCCCGAAGCCUCGGCUAAGGGCACGUCUGCCUGGGCGUCACGCAUCGCGUCUCCCCCAAACCGCCAAGGCGGAGGGGAAGGAAGAUGGCUUCCCGUGCCUCACCCGGGCGCGGUUGGCCUAAAUUUGGAGCCCGCGGCACUUAGCUCUCGCGGCGAUAGGUGGUGAACAAGGCCUUGGCCGUGCAAACAACCCGCUGCGAAGCUCUAUGUCACGUGCGCUCGUCGGACCCUUUGAAGUUGCCUUCGGUGACUUAAAACCUUUGCGACCCCAGGUCAGGCGGGGCUACCCGCUGAAUUUAAGCAUACAAUAAGCGGAGGA
RNAcentral lists this unclassified non-coding RNA (399 nucleotides) under soil metagenome. Its description in RNAcentral is "partial contains 5.8S ribosomal RNA, internal transcribed spacer 2, and large subunit ribosomal RNA". The stretch from base 1 to 120 matches the Rfam family "5.8S ribosomal RNA", at positions 35 to 154 of the family's 154-position model. The record is from RNAcentral.